ACCGUAGGGGAACCUGCGGUUGGAUCACCUCCUUACCUAAAGAUAUUGAUUCGAGUGGCGUGCUCACACAGAUUGUCUGAUGAAAAAGUAACGAGCAAAAGCGUCAUAAAGGCUUGUAGCUCAGGUGGUUAGAGCGCACCCCUGAUAAGGGUGAGGUCGGUGGUUCAAGUCCACUCAGGCCUAAAGUACGGUGUCGUGUCCCCUUCGUCUAGAGGCCUAGGACACCGCCCUUUCACGGCGGUAACAGGGGUUCGAAUCCCCUAGGGGACGCCAAGCUUCCGACCCACCCGGUGAAAGCGGCGGUCUCAAGUAUCUGACGAUACACCAUAUCUUAAAGAUGACUUCCGAGUCAUGUUUAAGAUAUUGCUCUUUAACAAUCUGGAACAAGCUGAAAAUUGAAACAUGACGGCUGAAAUUUAUCCCUCCGUAGACGUAUUGGGAUAAAGAGUAACCUGUCAUAGAGUCUCUCAAAUGUUUGCAACGCGAACGAUGGAAACAUCUUCGGGUUGUGAGGUUAAGUGACUAAGCGUACACGGUGGAUGCCUAGGCAGUCAGAGGCGAUGAAGGGCGUGCUAAUCUGCGAAAAGCGUCGGUAAGGUGAUAUGAACCGUUAUAACCGGCGAUACCCGAAUGGGGAAACCCAGUGUGUUUCGACACACUAUCAUGUCAUGAAUACAUAGUGGCAUGAGGCGAACCGGGG
This 700-nucleotide unclassified non-coding RNA is filed under the name Serratia marcescens. RNAcentral describes it as "partial contains 16S ribosomal RNA and 16S-23S ribosomal RNA intergenic spacer". The stretch from base 513 to 700 matches the Rfam family "Bacterial large subunit ribosomal RNA", at positions 1 to 189 of the family's 2925-position model. Lineage: Bacteria; Pseudomonadati; Pseudomonadota; Gammaproteobacteria; Enterobacterales; Yersiniaceae. The record is from RNAcentral.